AUGAAAGAACUGCUUUUUUUUUCCUAUUUUUCUUUUUGUAUGUGUGUUAUAGAUGGAUCUGAGAACGCUGUCUGGGCUUGGUGCCAAGGGCUGGUAUUUCACAGCAGCGACCGCCUCACAGACGAGCUGUGGGAAGCAGGAGGGAGACUCUCUCUUAGGGUGCCACUACUAUGGAGACACAGCUGGGCUGAACAAGAUUUGCUUCAAACGACAACAAGAGAGACAGAAAGUAUCUGGUUCAACCGCUGCCCGAGCAGGCAGGCACCAGAAGAGCUAGCAGCCAAUCCGGCCAUGCUCGAAGCCAGCUCUGCAGCUCAGCCAAUCAGUGACAUCACUGCUUUCUUUAGCUUGCCCAUGGUGAUGUGA
This 366-nucleotide long non-coding RNA is filed under the name Macaca mulatta (Rhesus monkey). Its description in RNAcentral is "lncRNA (ENSMMUG00000064737.1)". Lineage: Eukaryota; Metazoa; Chordata; Mammalia; Primates; Cercopithecidae. The record is from RNAcentral.